RNAcentral lists this transfer RNA (93 nucleotides) under Actinomycetota bacterium. Its description in RNAcentral is "Actinobacteria bacterium tRNA-Ser". It matches the Rfam family "tRNA". From Rfam's summary of the family: Transfer RNA (tRNA) molecules are approximately 80 nucleotides in length. Their secondary structure includes four short double-helical elements and three loops (D, anti-codon, and T loops). The record is from RNAcentral. Lineage: Bacteria; Bacillati; Actinomycetota.
GGAGGGGUGGCAGAGUCUGGCUUAUUGCGGCGGUCUUGAAAACCGCUGAGGGUUUUAUGCCCUCCGGGGGUUCAAAUCCCUCCCCCUCCGCCA